CAUCAUACUCCCUCACUUGAAAGAAAACUCAUUCUUGAGUUGCAACAAUUAUGGUUGAAGGCGAUACAACCAAAGCUCUAAUUAUAACCUCAGUUGCUUUUCUCCUAAUUCUUCAUGAACUAUUUGUACUCCUCCUUUUGUAAGAACAUCAAUUUUCUUCCCAUGGACUUUCAUACUCAAAAUCACCAUCCUCAUCCUCGCCACCUGUUGCCCUUCAAAUUCAAGAAGAUUGUUUCUUUCGGCUAAUCUCAUGAACUCGGCAUCCAGUACUGCAUACGAAUCAGACCCUUUCCUCUCUCUCCGUUCUAGCUUGCAACCAUUCCCACCAAGUGAAUGCUCCUCCCUUUAACCAACAUGCUACUACGGUACUACCUUGACUCUUCUUUUUGAAGUUGUCUCCAUGCAAUGAAACCUCUCCACAUCAGCUAUCCAAUUCAAGAAUUCCUCAAUAUUUAAAUUCCAAUUGAUGUUGGGAAUGUUGACUUGAAUCGGAAUUCUUUGUUACUCCUCUCAUCAUAUCCAUGAACACUUUUUCUCCCAUAAUCACAUUAUUGCCGAUCUAUAGGAUAGUCAUGGGGUCAUGGAUGUCCUUCUCUUCCGAUCUUCAUCGUAGACUAUCGCCUACGAGCAGGAAUUGGUCAGCAAAUAGGGUCCCGAAGAGCUAUUUUAAGUUAUUAUUUUAUGUUAUAUGAAAAGAAUAUAAACGAUUAUUGAUGGGUAUGCUUUAGUUCCAAUCUUUUGUAAUCAGUAAGUCAAAUUAUAUGUUGUUUAAAACGCUCAAUGGAGGUUAGCGUUUGAAAGUUUGAUUUUUAGUUAUUUUGUUAUUCUCUUACUGAAUUCCUCUUACAAUAAUUCCUCUUCUU
RNAcentral lists this unclassified non-coding RNA (863 nucleotides) under Hevea brasiliensis (rubber tree). Lineage: Eukaryota; Viridiplantae; Streptophyta; Magnoliopsida; Malpighiales; Euphorbiaceae. The record is from RNAcentral.